ACAUCAACAUCAACAUCAACACCAUCAUGUUCUACCGCGCUGGUUCUCUGCUGCUGGUUCUGCUGGUUCUGGGCUGCCUUCAGACCUUCACCCAGGCUCAGAAUGCAAAUGGACUAACCGAAUGCUGUGUCGGUUACUUCACAAAGCCAAUUCCAAUAAGAGACAUAACAGUGUAUGAAAAAACCAGAACUGACUGUACAAAACCUGGAAUUAUUUUUACCAUCGUGGAUAAGAGACGUAUGUGUGUAGACCCCAAAGCUAAGUGGGUGCAGAGGCACAUUAAAAGAUUUCAGCAAACCCAGUAAACCCAGCAGAAUGUUCCUGACCUCUCUAUAUUCAUCAUAAAAUACACUUUCUACUUUCACUGAAAAUAUAAAUCAGCUUUUAUUGAUAUUUUUUUGAUAUUUUUCUGCUUUAUUUUACAUUAUUUACCAGAACUGAACUAUCG
Molecule: long non-coding RNA, 448 nt
Organism: Trichomycterus rosablanca
Lineage: Eukaryota; Metazoa; Chordata; Actinopteri; Siluriformes; Trichomycteridae
Exons: 3
Source: RefSeq, a predicted model, not a curated record